This 301-nucleotide ribosomal RNA is filed under the name uncultured bacterium. Its description in RNAcentral is "partial 16S ribosomal RNA". It matches the Rfam family "Bacterial small subunit ribosomal RNA", at positions 509 to 807 of the family's 1533-position model. The record is from RNAcentral.
CAGCAGCCACGGUAAUACGAAGGGGGCUAGCGUUGUUCGGAAUUACUGGGCGUAAAGGGCGCGUAGGCGGCCAUUCAAGUUAGAUGUGAAAGCCCUGGGCUCAACCUAGGAAUUGCAUUUGAUACUGUUUGGCUUGAGUUCGGGAGAGGUGAGUGGAAUUCCCAGUGUAGAGGUGAAAUUCGUAGAUAUUGGGAAGAACACCGGUGGCGAAGGCGGCAACCUGGUUCAUGAUUGACGCUGAGGCACGAAAGCGUGGGGAGCAAACAGGAUUAGAUACCCGCGUAGUCCCUGUCUCUUAUAC